UUUUUUUUUUUUUUUAAAUCUUUUUAACCUUUUUGUCUUUUUCUUUCAGAUUAUCCAGAGAUGGCACCAGGACUAGUGAAUGUUUUCUUAGGAUUAAAAACUUAUUCCCAUCUAAAUAAACCACUUAUAUUGGAUGCUAUACCUCUGCUCGUAUUUGUUGGACUACCUCAUGUCACAUAACACAUUGCUCUCUCGCCAGAUCUGUGGAAAGAACAAUGAAGUGGAACAUCAUCUCCCUCCAUCACAGGAAGUACAGGGCUCUUAAGGAUCACACCAUGAGCUAAAAUAUUCACACCAGUACACUCCAGUGUCUUGUGGGUAAGCAUCGUCGAUGAUGCAGGAGGACCCGCGUUCCCAGCCAUACUGGCAUGUCUGAG
Long non-coding RNA from Melanotaenia boesemani (Boeseman's rainbowfish), 377 nucleotides. RefSeq lists it as uncharacterized. The transcript has 3 exons. NCBI's taxonomy places the organism in Eukaryota, Metazoa, Chordata, Actinopteri, Atheriniformes, Melanotaeniidae. The record is from RefSeq and is a predicted model, not a curated record.